UACUUCAGCAACGUUCUCGCG
RNAcentral lists this non-coding RNA (21 nucleotides) under Caenorhabditis elegans. Lineage: Eukaryota; Metazoa; Nematoda; Chromadorea; Rhabditida; Rhabditidae. The record is from RNAcentral.